Molecule: ribosomal RNA, 498 nt
Filed under: uncultured bacterium
Lineage: Bacteria
Description: partial 16S ribosomal RNA
Rfam family: Bacterial small subunit ribosomal RNA
Source: RNAcentral
ACGAACGCUGGCGGCGUGCCUAAUACAUGCAAGUCGAGCGAAGUUUUUCUGGUGCUUGCACCGGAAAAACUUAGCGGCGAACGGGUGAGUAACACGUAAAGAACCUGCCUCAUAGACUGGGACAACUAUUGGAAACGAUAGCUAAUACCGGAUAAUAGCAUUAACUGCAUGGUUGAUGUUUAAAAGUUGGUUUUGCUAACACUAUGAGAUGGCUUUGCGGUGCAUUAGCUAGUUGGUGGGGUAAAGGCCUACCAAGGCGACGAUGCAUAGCCGACCUGAGAGGGUGAUCGGCCGCACUGGGACUGAGACACGGCCCAGACUCCUACGGGAGGCAGCAGUAGGGAAUCUUCCGCAAUGGGCGAAAGCCUGACGGAGCAACGCCGCGUGAGUGAAGAAGGAUUUCGGUUCGUAAAGCUCUGUUGUUAGGGAAGAAUGAUUGUGUAGUAACUAUACACAGUAGAGACGGUACCUAACCAGAAAGCCACGGCUAACUACGUG